GACAUUUUAGCUAAAGAGUAAAGCUUGAAAGAUAAUAAUAAGAUGCAUUCAUCUUCUUCUCUGCUUUGCAGUAUUAGUUUCACUUUCUAACUAUUGAUGACCUCUCAUCAAUUCUUUUCCAUGGAUAACGCCUCCUCAUCAUACAAACUCCCACAGAACUACGAUGUGCUCAUCAAUUUCAUUGGAGAAGACAUCAACAGAAAAUUUGUUUCUCAUCUCAAUUCUGCCCUCUCUACUGUUGGUCUCACCACUUUCCUUCUUCACCCAAAUGCAGUGAAGUCAUCUCACAUCCAACAACCUAUUCUCGGCCAAUGCUGGAUAGCAAUUGUUGUUUUCACCCAAACCUAUUCUCAAUCUGCUUGGUGUCUUAAUCAGCUUCAACAAAUCAUCAAAUGGCACCAAACUUAUCGCCUAAAAGUUCUGCCCGUAUAUUAUGAAAUCCAGCCAUCUGAUGUACGUCUUCAGAAGGGUGACUUUGGAAAAGCCUUGAAGGCAACUGCUCAACAAACAUUUUCAGGAGAAGAACUGAAGCAUGGCAUGUUCAUGUGGAGCCAUGCACUCACCAAAGCUGCAGAAUUCUUUGGAUGGGAUGAGAGCAGUUACAGGAAUGAUGCUGAAUUAGUGGAGCAAAUUGUUAAGGCGUUGCUAAAUUUCCAGUUGAGUUACAAGCGAAAGAUCUUAUUCGAACUAUAAAAAAUAAAUCCACUGAAGUUUCUACGAUAGAGAUAAUAGGAGGCACGGAUCUGGUAAAACAACUAUUGCCAAAGCGAUCUACAAUCAAAUUCAUUGGACAUUCAAGGAGAAAAGUUUCAUUGAAAAUACUUCACAAGUUAGCGGAAUAAGAGGGCAACUUCGUUUACAAGAACAACUUCUUUUAGAUGUCCUAAAACAAAAGGUGGAGAUUCCUAGCGUUGAUGUGGGAAGAACUAUGAUUCGGGAAAGACUUUUAGGAAAAAGGGUUCUCAUUGUACUUGACGAUGUUGUUUGCUUUAAUUUAUUCGACGUAUUGGAUUGUCUUAAAUGGUCAAACUAUACACUCUGAGGAAUUAUAGAUGGAAGAUUCUAUGAGUUUUUCUAUUCUGUAAUUUGUUGCAGUUUAUUUCCAAUUAUAAGCCAGAAUUCUCUGAUUGUACUGUUGCAUUCUGCAUAAAUAAAAUUCUCCGUUUCAGAGAGAGAG
RNA transcript from Vigna radiata var. radiata (mung bean), 1177 nucleotides. It is a transcript of the gene named disease resistance protein RLM3-like, with no coding region annotated. The record is from RefSeq and is a predicted model, not a curated record. Lineage: Eukaryota; Viridiplantae; Streptophyta; Magnoliopsida; Fabales; Fabaceae. The transcript has 3 exons.